This 679-nucleotide ribosomal RNA is filed under the name uncultured fungus. Its description in RNAcentral is "eukaryotic LSU rRNA". The stretch from base 215 to 368 matches the Rfam family "5.8S ribosomal RNA". The record is from RNAcentral. Lineage: Eukaryota; Fungi.
CUUGGUCAUUUAGAGGAAGUAAAAGUCGUAACAAGGUUUCCGUAGGUGAACCUGCGGAAGGAUCAUUCAUAAUAAGUGUUUUAUGGCACUUUUUAAAUCCAUAUCCACCUUGUGUGCAAUGUCAGUCGAUCUUCUUCAUGGAGAUCGGCCAAACAUCAACCUUAUUUUUUAACUCUUUGUCUGAAAAAUAUUAUGAAUAAACAAUUCAAAAUACAACUUUCAACAACGGAUCUCUUGGCUCUCGCAUCGAUGAAGAACGCAGCGAAAUGCGAUACGUAAUGUGAAUUGCAGAAUUCAGUGAAUCAUCGAAUCUUUGAACGCAUAUUGCGCUCUUUGGUAUUCCGAAGAGCAUGCUUGUUUGAGUAUCAGUAAACACCUCAAAGCUUUUGGAUUUUUUUUGAAAGCUUUGGACUUGAGCAAUCCCAACGCCAAUCUUUUUCAGAUCGGCGGCGGGUUGCUUGAAAUGCAGGUGCAGCUGGACUUUCUCCCGAGCUAAAAGCAUAUUCAUUUAGUCCCGUCAAACGGAUUAUUACUUUUGCUGCAGCUAACAUAAAGGGAGUUUGACCGUAUUGGCUGACUGAUGCAGGAUUUUACAAGGGUCGGCAACGAUUCUUGUUAAACUCGGUCUCAAAUCAAGUAAGACUACCCGCUGAACUUAAGCAUAUCAAUAAGCGGAGGA